Planococcus citri (citrus mealybug) is the source of this 329-nucleotide long non-coding RNA. RefSeq lists it as uncharacterized. NCBI's taxonomy places the organism in Eukaryota, Metazoa, Arthropoda, Insecta, Hemiptera, Pseudococcidae. The transcript is spliced from 2 exons. The record is from RefSeq and is a predicted model, not a curated record.
UAACCUGGAAAAAUAUAACUAAAAAUGGUACAAUGGUAGAUGGUAGUCGGUAAUAAAAAUAAGUGAGUUAGUCGUGAAAUUGAUUUGAUUGUUCGAUAAAUCACUGUUCAGAUGUCAAAAACUAUAAAAGUGAGUGAUAGCUGUCUAGUGAAAUGAAGAAGUCAUCAGUAAUGCAAUCGAAACGAAGAAUCAGAGACAUUGUUGCAUCGCUGAACUCAAAACAGAAGAUCAUGGUGCUGCUCGAUUUCGCUGAACUUGUGCAGAUUUAGCAGUCAAGGUAAAGUGGAAGCCAUCACGUAGAAUACUGUUGUUCCCAAUGAAUGGCCGAU